This 253-nucleotide ribosomal RNA is filed under the name uncultured bacterium. RNAcentral's name for it is "partial 16S ribosomal RNA". It matches the Rfam family "Bacterial small subunit ribosomal RNA", at positions 524 to 776 of the family's 1533-position model. The record is from RNAcentral.
UACGGAGGGUGCGAGCGUUGUCCGGAAUUAUUGGGCGUAAAGCGCGCGCAGGCGGUCCUUUAAGUCUGAUGUGAAAGCCCACGGCUCAACCGUGGAGGGUCAUUGGAAACUGGGGGACUUGAGUACAGAAGAGGAAAGCGGAAUUCCACGUGUAGCGGUGAAAUGCGUAGAGAUGUGGAGGAACACCAGUGGCGAAGGCGGCUUUCUGGUCUGUAACUGACGCUGAGGCGCGAAAGCGUGGGGAGCAAACAGG